RNAcentral lists this ribosomal RNA (800 nucleotides) under uncultured bacterium. RNAcentral describes it as "bacterial SSU rRNA". It matches the Rfam family "Bacterial small subunit ribosomal RNA", at positions 8 to 823 of the family's 1533-position model. The record is from RNAcentral.
AGAGUUUGAUCCUGGCUCAGGACGAACGCUGGCGGCGUGCCUUACCCAUGCAAGUCGGACGGUGGGGUGAAAGCCUCACAGUGGCAGACGGCUGAGUAACACGUGAGGACCUAUCCAGUUGAGGGGGAUAGCCGCUCGAAAGAGCGGGUAAUACCGCGUAAGCCAAGGGCACGUAAGGUGUCUUUGGGAAAGCGAGGGGGAGACUCUUCGCGCGACUGGAGGGACUCGCGGCCCAUCAGGUAGUAGGUGAGGUUACGGCUCACCUAGCCGAUGACGGGUAGCUGGUCUGAGAGGAUGGCCAGCCAGACUGGGACUGAGAGACGGCCCAGACUCCUACGGGGGGCAGCAGGGGGGGAUCUUGGUCAAUGGGGGAAACCCUGAACCAGCGACGCCGCGUGAGGGAAGAAGGUCUUUGGAUCGUAAACCUCUUUUGCCAGGGAAGAUGAUGACGGUACCUGGCGAAUAAGCCCCGGCUAACUACGUGCCAGCAGCCGCGAUAAUACGUAGGGGGCGAGCGUUGUCCGGAUUUACUGGGCGUAAAGAGCGCGUAGGCGGUCUGAAGAGUCGGCUGUGAAAUCUCUGGGCCCAACCCAGAGGGGUCGGCCGAGACCUUUGGACUUGAGGGUGGUAGAGGAAGGUGGAAUUCCGGGUGUAGUGGUGAAAUGCGUAGAGAUCCGGAGGAACACCAGUGGCGAAGGCGACUUUCUGGACGAUAACUGACGCUGAGGCGCGAAAGCGUGGGGAGCAAACAGGAUUAGAUACCCUGGUAGUCCACGCUGUAAACGAUGGAUACUAGGUGU